Molecule: ribosomal RNA, 207 nt
Filed under: uncultured bacterium
Lineage: Bacteria
Description: partial 16S ribosomal RNA
Rfam family: Bacterial small subunit ribosomal RNA
Source: RNAcentral
UGCGUAGGUGGGUUGGUAAGUCAGUGGUGAAAUCUCCGGGCUUAACCUGGAAACUGCCAUUGAUACUAUCAAUCUUGAAUACCUUGGAGGUGAGCGGAAUAUGUCAUGUAGCGGUGAAAUGCUUAGAUAUGACAUAGAACACCAAUUGCGAAGGCAGCUCACUACACGGUCAUUGACACUGAGGCACGAAAGCGUGGGGAUCAAACA